GGGCCCAGAACAUUGAAGACAACCUCCAAAUGAGGAAGAGGGGGGCUUGAUCUGCUAAGAUUAGGAUUCCAUUUGUGCAUUCGGGGAUUUUGGGGCAAUCCGAUUUGGGGGUUUCUCGGCUACGAUUUGGUGAGUUAAAUCUUGUUUAGCAUGUCUCGAUUUGGUUUGGUGAUUAUUCAUUGGCUUUGGUUUGGUGAUUAUUCAUUGUCUUGCAUGUUUCGAUUUCUCCUUCGAAAUUGGAGAAGUUAGAGUGCUGCUAUUGUGGGUAUAUUGAUCUCUGAUUCCAAGCUCUUUGGUUAAAGGCGUUCUUCUUCAGCAAACCCUUCAGGCCAUUGUUGCUAUCAUUUUGUUCACGAAAAUCGGACAUGGUCUUCGAUUUCAGGUUUCGAUUGUAAAUUAUGGCGAGAAUUGCAUACCCAUAAAAUUUCGCAGACAGGGCUGCUAGGUGCUUUCGUUAUCAAAAAGCUUUAUUUUGCAAGGCACUGGACAAAUCAUGAGGUUGCUCUUAUGAUGCUCAUGGCAUACCUUUCAUAUAUGCUGGCUGAACUAUUCUAUUAUAGUGGCAUUCUCACUGUAUUCUUUUGUGGGAUUGUGAUGUCAAUAUGGAUGCCUUGGACAUUGAAAAGUGGAAAAUUUUAAGUGAUAGAUGGUGCUUCUUUUAGUUUUAUCUUUGAUUGAACUCAUGUUUAGCAUAUGGUGCUCGAUCUUGUAUGUGAAGUCCUGGAACAUAGGUUGCAGUAAAUUCAAUACUACUAAGUCUUGUUACGCUUGGAAGAGCAGCUUUUGUUUUUCCCUUAUCCUUCUUGUCAAACUUAUCCAAGAAAAAUCAAAGCGAGAAAAUUAGCCUCCAGCAGCAAGUGGUAAUAUGGUGGCUGGUCUUAUGAGAGAUGUUGUGUCUAUUGCGCUUGCUUAUAAUCAGGCAAGUUGUGGAAAAUGUUCCUUUUUAGGUUGUUGUAGGUUUAAAUCUACCCAAGUAGGGAAAAGGGAAAAAAUUGGCAUUCCAUGAAAAGGCUACUAAAUCAGAACAAAUAUAAUCUUGCAAAAUACUGUAUGAGGUCUAUGGUUUUGCUAGCUCAUAUUUCUUGCUUACCGAUUUGAGUUUUCAUAUCUUAAGGUAGAUUUAUGUUUAAUUUGGUGUGUUUUGGUAGACCUAUAUGAUAGACAG
Long non-coding RNA from Rosa rugosa (rugosa rose), 1165 nucleotides. RefSeq lists it as uncharacterized. The transcript is spliced from 6 exons. NCBI's taxonomy places the organism in Eukaryota, Viridiplantae, Streptophyta, Magnoliopsida, Rosales, Rosaceae. The record is from RefSeq and is a predicted model, not a curated record.